This 417-nucleotide ribosomal RNA is filed under the name uncultured bacterium. Its description in RNAcentral is "bacterial SSU rRNA". It matches the Rfam family "Bacterial small subunit ribosomal RNA", at positions 770 to 1186 of the family's 1533-position model. The record is from RNAcentral.
UAACCGGAUUAGAUACCCUGGUAGUCCACGCCGUAAACGAUGUCGACUAGCCGUUGGGCUCAUUUAAGGGUUUAGUGGCGCAGCUAACGCGAUAAGUCGACCGCCUGGGGAGUACGGCCGCAAGGUUAAAACUCAAAGGGAUUGACGGGGGCCCGCACAAGCGGUGGAGCAUGUGGUUUAAUUCGAUGCAACGCGAAGAACCUUACCAGCCCUUGACAUCCUGCGAACUUUCUAGAGAUAGAUUGGUGCCUUCGGGAGCGCAGUGACAGGUGCUGCAUGGCUGUCGUCAGCUCGUGUCGUGAGAUGUUGGGUUAAGUCCCGUAACGAGCGCAACCCUUGUCCUUAGUUGCCAGCGGUUCGGCCGGGAACUCUAAGGAGACUGCCGGUGAUAAACCGGAGGAAGGUGGGGAUGACGUA